This 3006-nucleotide long non-coding RNA is filed under the name Salvia miltiorrhiza (redroot sage). Its description in RNAcentral is "long non-coding RNA (SMIL_LNC005295)". The record is from RNAcentral. Lineage: Eukaryota; Viridiplantae; Streptophyta; Magnoliopsida; Lamiales; Lamiaceae.
UUAAGCAGUUCAUCGGGUGCUAACCGGUGCUGCAGAGGAUUGCUAGUUGGAGUUGCGUACUUGGGGGGAUUGAAGAAAUUCAAGUUGAGAUAAUUGUUCGCCGGUUUGGGGGGGACUUGCCGCCGGCGAGAUGAGCGCGUCUAGAUUUAUUAAGUGCGUGACCGUGGGCGACGGAGCUGUGGGUAAAACUUGCUUGCUCAUCUCUUACACUAGCAAUACUUUUCCAACUGUAAGUUUUAUUCUCCAACUCUUUUGAUUUUUGGCUUGUUCUUUUAAUUUACUAUUUUCUGUUGCAUCGUAACUUUUUUGUUAAUUGUUGAGCUUAUUUCAAUUCGGGUAAGAGCAGGUAAUGUUGAUGUUAAUAUUGUUCAAGCUUUUGUAGUCAAUGUAGUUCUGGCAUGGUUGGGAAACAAUGAUUUUUUUCCCUUGCGUCUUCGAGCAUUCUAAUAUUGAUAGGAAUUUGGUGGCAUGGACUGUUGGACUGUAAUAACUUGGAGCUUCUACUUUUCAUUCUGUUCUGGUAGUAUAAGUUUAGGCUCGGGGGUGGAGGUGGGAGUAAGAUUUUUGAAUAAGUGCCUGAGGAAUACAUUUCUUUUUCUGGAUACGGUUUUGAACAAUCAGACGUGUGAAAAAAAGGAGGAUUGGAAUAUGCUUUUGACUGAAUCCUUUUUACCUUUUUGUCACGCACAUAGCCUCCCUUUUCAAGUUACCAAUUUUGUUUUUGAAUUCAUUUGGUUUAGCUUUAUCAAUUAUGACAUGAAUACGAAUUCAAAAAAUAGAAUAUUUAUCCAUCAAUCAUCAUUGGAUAUGUAGAUUCCUUUUUUCUUUUAGUGUUUUCUGAUUUACUUUUCACUGUGUCGCCUUUUUUAUUCAAAUGUAGAUCUUCUGAGUAACAUUAAUUUUGUAACUCACUUUUCAUUGAUAUAGAUUAUGUUUAAGGAUAUUGAAUAUACCAAAAGUGCAUAGACAAGUAAAAGUUUGCAAACUUUUCUCUGCUCCCUCACCGAACCUGUGAGCUUUUAUCUUUUGGGUUCGUUGUUUUUUUUUUUUUUUUUUUGAUCGGGCAAAGUCAUGUUAGAUGUUAGUAGUUAGUUCCCCCAUCCACUCCAAGAACCACCUUAUCUCUCCAUUCACCAAAAUCCACCUUAUAUCUCCCCAAUCUCCAAUUCGCUCCCAAGAGGGAUCGAACCCGGGUCACUUCACUUAAGUGAGGACCCGGUGGCCAGUGGGCUAAGCCCCCUGGUUUUUUGGGUUCGUUGUUAAAACUCAUGUAGGAUGGUUAUGAACUUCUUAACAGAUUUUGAUGUAGAUGCCGCUUAAAAGAGUGAAUUAUGGUACCUAUUGGACUGUAGGCUCUGCUUCACUUUGUCCCGUUUACUUUUCUUUUGUGCUCUACAACAUAUCAUGUUCAAAUUGGUUACACUCAAGUCACAUGCUAUUAUAGUUUUCAGCAGUGGAAAAUUUUCUUCUUGGUUACUAGGUUUCUAACUGGAUCUUUUUUGUUUUGGCUUAAACAGGAUUAUGUCCCAACUGUUUUUGAUAAUUUCAGUGCCAAUGUCGUAGUGGACGGUAGCACUGUUAAUCUAGGAUUGUGGGAUACUGCAGGUAAAUUAAUAUUCCCGUGCAUACUUUCUAAUUCAUCUUUCAAAAACUACAGAACAGGCAGUCACACUUUAUUCUACAGGCCAAGAGGAUUACAAUAGAUUGAGACCAUUGAGCUACCGUGGGGCUGAUGUCUUUAUUCUCGCCUUCUCCCUUAUUAGCAAGGCUAGUUACGAGAAUGUCUCCAAGAAGGUGAGCCUUCAAUUUACCUUAGUGGGGUGAGAAUCCUAACCUCUUCAUAGCUUUUGGUUUCUCGGAUAACAGGUUAUUAAAAGGGGAGGAAAGUGAAUUGAGAAAUCAAGAGUAAUUUUAUUCUAUUUUGCUUCUCUUCAUUGGGGAUCAAAAUUUCCUAGCACUUCGUAAACCUUUUAGGGAUCGUUUGGUUUGAUGGAUGGGAUAGAUAAGAUUGAUAGAAUUGGAGAGUGAUUAAAUAAUCCACCAACUUCGGGGUACUAAAUAAUCACUCAAUUGCAUGAUUAGAGUGUGAGUGAGCCUAGUUAUCCAUCACGUGCCCAAUCAUGCAAACCAAACACUUGAUUAAGUUGGAUUAUUUAUCAAUCAUGCCUUAUCACUCAAACCAAACACCUCCUUAAUAGCUUUUGGUUCUUUUCUGGNAAAAUAAAAUCUCCACUAGUUUUACUUCCAAUUUUAUUAUAUACUAGUAGUACUAAAUUAAAUUCUGCUCCAAAUCCUUUCCUUCACAUGAAAAUACAUGUGAAAUUUAAUGUGCAUUCAAUUUUGGCAAAAUUAUUGAACACUUGAAAAGCAAGCAAAAUUUCCGAAAAAAGAAAAAGUUUUUUGUGUGUUGGCAAAUGAUAGGAUGACCUCAAGUAGCACCUGGAGUUAUAUGCUAUGCUAUAGCUGUCUCGUAGCUGGCUCCCUCACAUUACUAUUUUAAAAACUCCAUCCUCGCUUGCAUUCUCUCUCUCUCUCUCUGCGCGGAAAUCAUCACCUCUCUCUCACACCUGCUAUGCUAAUGUGCUUUCUCUCUCUAGUUCGUCUGUAUGUCUCCCCUCUUCUCUCAUUUGCUGCGUUGUUUCUGAUUUGAUUGACAGUGAAUGUGGCUGUUGUCUGCUUGGUGAUCGUACUAUAGUUAGGGUUUAAUUUUGAGGUUAGGGUUUUGAUUCCGUGUUAUUGGAGAUUUCUAACUGUUUUCCUCCUAAUUCUUUUUGCAGUUAAGCAGUUCAUCGGGUGCUAACCGGUGCUGCAGAGGAUUGCUAGUUGGAGUUGCGUACUUGGGGGAUUGAAGAAAUUCAAGUUGAGAUAAUUGUUCGCCGGUUUGGGGGGGACUUGCCGCCGGCGAGAUGAGCGCGUCUAGAUUUAUUAAGUGCGUGACCGUGGGCGACGGAGCUGUGGGUAAAACUUGCUUGCUCAUCUCUUACACUAGCAAUACUUUUCCAACUG